Molecule: ribosomal RNA, 453 nt
Filed under: uncultured bacterium
Lineage: Bacteria
Description: bacterial SSU rRNA
Rfam family: Bacterial small subunit ribosomal RNA
Source: RNAcentral
UACGGAAGGCAGCAGUGGGGAAUAUUGCACAAUGGGCGCAAGCCUGAUGCAGCCAUGCCGCGUGUAUGAAGAAGGCCUUCGGGUUGUAAAGUACUUUCAGUCGUGAGGAAGGUGUUAAGGUUAAUAACCUUAGCAAUUGACGUUAGCGACAGAAGAAGCACCGGCUAACUCCGUGCCAGCAGCCGCGGUAAUAUGGAGGGUGCGAGCGUUAAUCGGAAUUACUGGGCGUAAAGGGCACGCAGGCGGUUAAUUAAGUUGGAUGUGAAAUCCCCGGGCUUAACCUGGGAAUGGCAUUCAAGACUGGUUAGCUAGAGUCUUGUAGAGGGGGGUAGAAUUCCAUGUGUAGCGGUGAAAUGCGUAGAGAUGUGGAGGAAUACCGGUGGCGAAGGCGGCCCCUGGACAAAGACUGACGCUCAUGUGCGAAAGCGUGGGGAGCAAACAGGGAUUAGUACC